GACGGAGGGAGCGAGCGUUGUUCGGAAUCAUUGGGCGUAAAGCGCGUGUAGGCGGCUUGGCAAGUCGGGUGUGAAAUCCCGGGGCCCAACCCCGGAACUGCAUUCGAAACUGCCUCGCUAGAGUCACGGAGAGGGAGGCGGAAUUCCUGGUGUAGAGGUGAAAUUCGUAGAUAUCGGGAGGAACACCGACGGCGAAGGCGGCCUUCUGGACGGUGACUGACGCUGAGACGCGAAAGCGUGGGGAGCAAACAGG
Molecule: ribosomal RNA, 253 nt
Filed under: uncultured bacterium
Lineage: Bacteria
Description: partial 16S ribosomal RNA
Rfam family: Bacterial small subunit ribosomal RNA
Source: RNAcentral